This 542-nucleotide ribosomal RNA is filed under the name uncultured Vibrio sp. Its description in RNAcentral is "bacterial SSU rRNA". It matches the Rfam family "Bacterial small subunit ribosomal RNA", at positions 28 to 550 of the family's 1533-position model. The record is from RNAcentral. Lineage: Bacteria; Pseudomonadati; Pseudomonadota; Gammaproteobacteria; Vibrionales; Vibrionaceae.
AUUGAACGCUGGCGGCAGGCUAACACAUGCAAGUCGAGCGGCAGCGACAACAUUGAACCUUCGGGGGAUUUGUUGGGCGGCGAGCGGCGGACGGGUGAGUAAUGCCUAGGAAAUUGCCCUGAUGUGGGGGAUAACCAUUGGAAACGAUGGCUAAUACCGCAUGAUGCCUACGGGCCAAAGAGGGGGACCUUCGGGCCUCUCGCGUCAGGAUAUGCCUAGGUGGGAUUAGCUAGUUGGUGAGGUAAUGGCUCACCAAGGCGACGAUCCCUAGCUGGUCUGAGAGGAUGAUCAGCCACACUGGAACUGAGACACGGUCCAGACUCCUACGGGAGGCAGCAGUGGGGAAUAUUGCACAAUGGGCGAAAGCCUGAUGCAGCCAUGCCGCGUGUAUGAAGAAGGCCUUCGGGUUGUAAAGUACUUUCAGUUGUGAGGAAGGGGGUGUUGUUAAUAGCAACAUCUCUUGACGUUAGCAACAGAAGAAGCACCGGCUAACUCCGUGCCAGCAGCCGCGGUAAUACGGAGGGUGCGAGCGUUAAUCGGAA